AGUGAACGCUGGCGGUAGGCCUAACACAUGCAAGUCGAACGGCAGCACAGUAAGAGCUUGCUCUUACGGGUGGCGAGUGGCGGACGGGUGAGGAAUACAUCGGAAUCUACUUUUUCGUGGGGGAUAACGUAGGGAAACUUACGCUAAUACCGCAUACGACCUACGGGUGAAAGCAGGGGAUCUUCGUACCUUUCGCGAUUGAAUGAGCCGAUGUCGGAUUAGCUAGUUGGCGGGGUAAAGGCCCACCAAGGCGACGAUCCGUAGCUGGUCUGAGAGGAUGAUCAGCCACACUGGAACUGAGACACGGUCCAGACUCCUACGGGAGGCAGCAGUGGGGAAUAUUGGACAAUGGGCGCAAGCCUGAUCCAGCCAUACCGCGUGGGUGAAGAAGGCCUUCGGGUUGUAAAGCCCUUUUGUUGGGAAAGAAAAGCAGCAGGUUAAUACCCCGCUGUUCUGACGGUACCCAAAGAAUAAGCACCGGCUAACUUCGUG
RNAcentral lists this ribosomal RNA (492 nucleotides) under uncultured bacterium. RNAcentral describes it as "partial 16S ribosomal RNA". It matches the Rfam family "Bacterial small subunit ribosomal RNA", at positions 29 to 507 of the family's 1533-position model. The record is from RNAcentral.